GCGAGUGUAGUUCAAUGGUAGAACUUCAGCCCUCCAAGCUGACCAUGGGGGUUCGAUUCCCCUCACUCGCUCCA
RNAcentral lists this transfer RNA (74 nucleotides) under Acholeplasmatales bacterium. RNAcentral's name for it is "tRNA-Gly". It matches the Rfam family "tRNA". Rfam says of the family: Transfer RNA (tRNA) molecules are approximately 80 nucleotides in length. Lineage: Bacteria; Bacillati; Mycoplasmatota; Mollicutes; Acholeplasmatales. The record is from RNAcentral.